Molecule: ribosomal RNA, 478 nt
Filed under: Hemitaurichthys polylepis
Lineage: Eukaryota; Metazoa; Chordata; Actinopteri; Chaetodontiformes; Chaetodontidae
Description: partial small subunit ribosomal RNA
Rfam family: Bacterial small subunit ribosomal RNA
Source: RNAcentral
CACUAUGCCUAGCCCUAAACAUCGACAGUAAACUACGCCCACUGUCCGCCUGGGAACUACGAGCGCUAGCUUAAAACCCAAAGGACUUGGCGGUGCUUUAGACCCACCUAGAGGAGCCUGUCCUAGAACCGAUAAUCCCCGUUCAACCUCACCCUUCCUUGUUUUAUCCGCCUAUAUACCGCCGUCGUCAGCUUACCCUGUGAAGGCUCAAAAGUAAGCGAAAUCGGUACAGCCCCAAACGUCAGGUCGAGGUGUAGCGUAUGGAAGGGGAAGAGAUGGGCUACAUUCACUGACACAGUGAAAUACGAAUGAUUGCUCUGAAACGAGAAUCUGAAGGAGGAUUUAGCAGUAAGCAAAAAGUAGAGUGUUUUGCUGAAGUUGGCCCUGAAGCGUGCACACACCGCCCGUCACUCUCCCCUAUUCAACUUGGAAUAAUAACUUAUAUACCCUACAGAAACUGCGGGGAGACAAGUCGUAA